CGCGGCCUAUCAGCUUGUUGGUGAGGUAACGGCUCACCAAGGCAAUGACGGGUAGCUGGUCUGAGAGGACGAUCAGCCACACUGGAACUGAGAUACGGUCCAGACUCCUACGGGAGGCAGCAGGAGGGAAUCUUGCGCAAUGGGCGAAAGCCUGACGCAGCGACGCCGCGUGGGGGAUGAAUGCCUUAGGGUUGUAAACCCCUUUCACGAGGGAAGAAACUGACGGUACCUCGAGAAGAAGCCCCGGCUAACUACGUGCCAGCAGCCGCGGUAAUACGUAGGGGGCGAGCGUUGUCCGGAUUUAUUGGGCGUAAAGGGCUCGUAGGCGGCUUGGCAAGUCGGCCGUGAAAACCCAGGGCUCAACUCUGGGACGCCGGUCGAUACUGCCAUGGCUAGGGUCCGGUAGAGGGGAAUGGAAUUCCCGGUGUAGCGGUGAAAUGCGCAGAUAUCGGGAGGAACACCAGUAGCGAAGGCGGUUCCCUGGGCCGGCACCGGCGCUGAGGAGCGAAAGCGUGGGUAGCGAACAGGAUUAGAUACCCUGGUAGUCUACGCCGUAAACGUUGGGCACUAGGUGUGGGGCCUACUUAACGGGUUCCGUGCCGUAGCUAACGCAUUAAGUGCCCCGCCUGGGGAGUACGG
RNAcentral lists this ribosomal RNA (639 nucleotides) under uncultured Actinomycetes bacterium. Its description in RNAcentral is "bacterial SSU rRNA". It matches the Rfam family "Bacterial small subunit ribosomal RNA", at positions 232 to 885 of the family's 1533-position model. The record is from RNAcentral. Lineage: Bacteria; Bacillati; Actinomycetota; Actinomycetes.